Molecule: signal recognition particle RNA, 266 nt
Filed under: Candidatus Rokuibacteriota bacterium
Lineage: Bacteria; Candidatus Rokuibacteriota
Description: Candidatus Rokubacteria bacterium signal recognition particle sRNA large type
Rfam family: Bacterial large signal recognition particle RNA
About the family: The signal recognition particle (SRP) is a universally conserved ribonucleoprotein involved in the co-translational targeting of proteins to membranes.
Source: RNAcentral
CCGUGCUAGGUGGGGCGUUAGCGGUGCCCUGUAACCCGACACCCGCUCUAGCGGGGCUGAAUUCCCACUAGAGGAUUCGGCCCUCAGGGCCAGUACGCCGCGUGCGGCGUCGAUGGCCAGGUCCCGCGCGACGGAGUCCCGUGAACCAGGUCAGGUCCGGAAGGAAGCAGCCUUAAGCGGUCUUCCCCGUGCGCCGCGGGCAAGCCUGGCCGGAGCCAUAUCGCGGCUGACACGCCUGGGAGCCGCUUUCGAAGGUGGGUGCACGG